Molecule: ribosomal RNA, 253 nt
Filed under: uncultured bacterium
Lineage: Bacteria
Description: partial 16S ribosomal RNA
Rfam family: Bacterial small subunit ribosomal RNA
Source: RNAcentral
UACAGAGGUCUCAAGCGUUGUUCGGAUUCAUUGGGCGUAAAGGGUGCGUAGGCGGCGCGGUAAGUCGGGUGUGAAAUUUCGAGGCUUAACUUCGAAACUGCAUUCGAUACUGCCGUGCUUGAGGACUGGGGAGGAGACUGGAAUUUACGGUGUAGCGGUGAAAUGCGUAGAUAUCGUAAGGAAGACCAGUGGCGAAGGCGGGUCUCUGGACAGUUCCUGACGCUGAGGCACGAAGGCCAGGGGAGCAAACGGG